This 119-nucleotide ribosomal RNA is filed under the name Pseudonaja textilis. The record is from RNAcentral. Lineage: Eukaryota; Metazoa; Chordata; Lepidosauria; Squamata; Elapidae.
GUCUACGGCCAUACUACCCUGAACACGCCCGAUCCCGUCUGAUCUCGGAAGCUAAGCAGGGUCAGGCUUGGUUAGUACUUGGAUGGGAGACCGCCUGGGAAUACCGGGUGCCGUAGGCA